AUUGAACGCUGGCGGCAUGCCUUACACAUGCAAGUCGAACGGCAGCGGGGGAGAAGCUUGCUUUUCCUGCCGGCGAGUGGCGAACGGGUGAGUAAUACAUCGGAACGUGCCCUGUAGUGGGGGAUAACUAGUCGAAAGAUUAGCUAAUACCGCAUACGACCUGAGGGUGAAAGUGGGGGACCGCAAGGCCUCAUGCUAUAGGAGCGGCCGAUGUCUGAUUAGCUAGUUGGGGGGGUAAAGGCCUACCAAGGCGACGAUCAGUAGCUGGUCUGAGAGGACGAUCAGCCACACUGGGACUGAGCCACGGCCCAGACUCCUACGGGAGGCAGCAGUGGGGAAUUUUGGACAAUGGGCGAAAGCCUGAUCCAGCAAUGCCGCGUGUGUGAAGAAGGCCUUCGGGUUGUAAAGCACUUUUGUCCGGAAAGAAAUGGCUCUGGUUAAUACCUGGGGUCGAUGACGGUACCGGAAGAAUAAGGACCGGCUAACUACGUGCCAGCCGCCGCGGUAA
RNAcentral lists this ribosomal RNA (508 nucleotides) under uncultured bacterium. RNAcentral describes it as "partial 16S ribosomal RNA". It matches the Rfam family "Bacterial small subunit ribosomal RNA", at positions 30 to 523 of the family's 1533-position model. The record is from RNAcentral.